Molecule: ribosomal RNA, 775 nt
Filed under: uncultured Neocallimastigales
Lineage: Eukaryota; Fungi; Neocallimastigomycota; Neocallimastigomycetes; Neocallimastigales
Description: partial large subunit ribosomal RNA
Rfam family: Eukaryotic large subunit ribosomal RNA
Source: RNAcentral
AGAGAGAGACAUGCGCGCAUAUCAAUAAGCGGAGGAAAAGAAACUAACAAGGAUUCCCUUAGUAACGGCGAGUGAAGCGGGAAGAGCUCAAAUUUGAAAUCUUCAAGGUUUUACCUUGACGAAUUGUAGUUUAAAGAAGUGUUUUCUGCUGAAGUUUUGGUAAAAGUUCUUUGGAAUAGGACAUCAUAGAGGGUGAGGAAUCCCGUAUUUGACCAUUAUUUUCAGCUUUGUGAUACACUUUCAAAGAGUCGGAUUGUUUGGGAAUGCAGUCCAAAAUGGGUGGUAAAUUUCAUCUAAAGCUAAAUAUUGGCGAGAGACCGAUAGCGAACAAGUACCGUGAGGGAAAGAUGAAAAGAACUUUGAAAAGAGAGUUAAACAGUACGUGAAAUUGUCAAAAGGGAAGCGUUUGACACCAGUGUUGUUUUCCUCGAAAAUCAAUUAAAAAUGGCUCGAUUUUGUAUUGCUGAGACCUUAAAAGCUCACUGUACAUUUUUCGUGUCUUUUUUAAUGCACUUUUCGUUUAACAAGUCAACAUCAGUUUCUUUUGUUGUAAAAGGGUCAUUGGAAGGUGGCUUUCUUUUCGGAGAAAGUGUUUAUAGCCUUUGGCCUCUGCAAUCGAAGAGACUGAGGUCUGCAGCGUAGACUCUUCGGGGUUAGAUACAUUUGUGCUAAGUUAUAGCUUUUUAUAGACAACUUGUUGACUAUAAUUAGUCUUGUAGCUUACUCGCUUAUGCUAUUUUACCUACGCUUAGGAUGUUGAAGUCAUCGUAUCGCG